GAUGAACGCUGGCGGCGUGCUUAACACAUGCAAGUCGAACGGUGAACGAGGAGCUUGCUCCUCUGGAUCAGUGGCGAACGGGUGAGUAACACGUGAGUAACCUGCCCUUGACUCUGGGAUAAGCGUUGGAAACGACGUCUAAUACCGGAUACGACCUCCGAAGGCAUCUUCUGGAGGUGGAAAGAAUUUCGGUCAAGGAUGGACUCGCGGCCUAUCAGCUAGUUGGUGAGGUAAUGGCCCACCAAGGCGACGACGGGUAGCCGGCCUGAGAGGGUGACCGGCCACACUGGGACUGAGACACGGCCCAGACUCCUACGGGAGGCAGCAGUGGGGAAUAUUGCACAAUGGGCGCAAGCCUGAUGCAGCAACGCCGCGUGAGGGACGACGGCCUUCGGGUUGUAAACCUCUUUUAGUAGGGAAGAAGCGAAAGUGACGGUACCUGCAGAAAAAGCACCGGCUAACUACGUGCCAGCAGCCGCGGUAAUACGUAGGGUGCAAGCGUUAUC
RNAcentral lists this ribosomal RNA (506 nucleotides) under uncultured bacterium. Its description in RNAcentral is "bacterial SSU rRNA". It matches the Rfam family "Bacterial small subunit ribosomal RNA", at positions 28 to 545 of the family's 1533-position model. The record is from RNAcentral.